UACGUAGGGUGCGAGCGUUAAUCGGAAUUACUGGGCGUAAAGCGUGCGCAGGCGGGCUUUUAAGCCAGACGUGAAAUCCCCGGGCUUAACCUGGGAAUGGCGUUUGGGACUGGAAGUCUGGAGUGCGGCAGAGGAGACUGGAAUUCCUGGUGUAGCAGUGAAAUGCGUAGAUAUCAGGAGGAACACCGAUGGCGAAGGCAGGUCUCUGGGCUGACACUGACGCUCAUGCACGAAAGCGUGGGGAGCAAAAGGG
Molecule: ribosomal RNA, 253 nt
Filed under: uncultured bacterium
Lineage: Bacteria
Description: partial 16S ribosomal RNA
Rfam family: Bacterial small subunit ribosomal RNA
Source: RNAcentral